UAUUUUACUGAUAUUUUUGUUUAUAGUUUUAAUUAGAUCUCCGGUUAUAUUCUAUAUACAUCGCCACCGUCUUGAUUCCAGAUUAUCAUUAUUCAUUGUGUUUUGAAGUUCCUGUCGUAGAUUUAUGGUCGAGCCAUCCCCCAGCUUUUAAUGUGUGAUAUCUUCUAUUCACAAUGUCCUAAUGAGUUGAGCAGCUGGCAAAUAAAAGUCAAAGAGAGAAGAGAGAGGUUCAAGUUGUGCUCCGUGGACAAGGACUAGGAGGUUUCUGAUCCGAAUCCUCACAACUCCACUGUAAGGUCUCUCAACCACAAUUGUACAGGUUCUGCUGAGUACACAAGUCUAAGAUAUCUUGAGAGCUCAUCAGCGGAAUCAAGUUCGGAUCUAGAAAGACGAGACAUAAACAUUCAAGACCUGAAACAAGAGCAGGAGCAACCAAGUCCUGUCUCUUUUCUAGAGAGGAUACGUCUGGAAGAAGAAACAGUAGAAGAGAAGAUUAGAUUGCUAGCUUUUGAUGAUUCAGGCAUGAAUCUUCUAGAAAAGGACUCAGUUCACAAGUUUGUGAAGAAAGUUCUUGAAGUUUUAAGACUGAACUGGACUAAUCUCAUGGCAAGAUUCAUCAAGGAAACAUCACUACUCGACGAAUUCUCACACGAAGCUUCUUCUGGUUCUUGAUCACACGGACGGGAAUCUCUAAGAGAUUUGCCAUCAAGACAUCAUCAAGUUUUGGCCUUUUUUGAGAGUUAUCAUCAAUCUACCAUCUUCUUCCUUUAGAGAAGACCUGAUUGACGAGAAGCUGAGACGUUUCGACUGGGGUUUACUCUGCUGUGAAACUCCAAAAACGUUGGAUCAGAUCAUUGAGACUGAUGUGGUAAAGCCAUCAUGUCUUUGGUCGGGUUUUGGUGGUGAAGCUGAAGGUGUUUAUCUGUACCAGAAGAGUAACUGAAAUAAAGGUGGAGAAGGGAUGGUGCAGUGUUUCCUGCUCAAACUGGGCCAAUCAACUUUAGUGCACAGUAUCAUCUUUCACAUGUCUUCCUUGCAACAAUACCAGUGCAGUUGGUGUCCUCCGGUACGGUGUGGAGAUGUCCGUUGCAGAUGAAACUGGUAAAGCUUUGUUUGUCUGUUUCGACGAGGUAAUGACCAAACAUCACAACAUGAGGGCCUUUGAAGCUGACCAUCUUUUGGCUGGUGAUGGUGUCAACCCGGAGGAAACACAGGCCCCGCCAUUUGUGUGAGACAUGGUUGGUAAGACCUACACAUUCCAGGUGAGGGUGAGUUCACUUAAAUUCACAGCAAAUCAUCAGACCUUUACUGUCUCGCGCAUCCUCAGUGAGCGUGACCGUGUGCUGCAGCCUGCAUUUGUUGAUAAUCUAAGGUUUAUGGAAUGGAGGCGACGUUUACAAUGGAGAUGACAACCCCGAUGCCAUCACAGUGCCUUCUAAGGUUGAAACUGGUGGACCUAGCCAGGCGCAAGUAGCAUCGGAGAAGGUGAAGAAAGCACGCAAGGCAUAGGUGAAGAGGAUUGGAGUACAAGACGCAGUUUUUCCUGUGUGUUUUUUAAUGCUGAAGUCGUUUAUGUUGUUUUUUUUUUCCUUUUCUGGUGUUUGCUUUAUUAACAAGUUUGACUUUUACACUUUCCUACUUCUAUAGUUUUGGUUUUCUUGAUACCAAAUAUAAAAUAUAUCUCAUUUAGGAAAUAUUUGGUAUUAUAUGGUUUUUUUUAAUUCAAGUUAGUAUUCUCUAUAUUCUGUCAUGAUUGUAAAUAUGAUCAUGUUUAACGUAGGCAAUCAUCCGCAUAUUUUGAGUCCAAUUUGACAACGACAACAUAUACUAAACAUGCGAUGGGUCCAUUCAUAUUCGAUAUUUCCCUUCAUUUGCAUUUUAUUCAACAAAUACUAAAUAUAAAUAUAAUGCUCACACAGUACCUGCGGCUCCAUAAUAGUUAAGAAGCUAAACACAUGACCCGUAUACAUUAUAUUUAUAGUAUACAUAUAUUUUUAGCUUAGCAUUGAACUGGUUUACUUGGUACGCUAUCUCUGAUCCUGUAUGUUCUCAAGUACUGACUUUAUCACUCUCUUCGCCGGAAAAGGAGCCAAUGUGUUCUUCAACAAUUAUAGGCUUCGACGACGGUGUCGUUCACCAGUGUUUUAAGUGUCAUAUUUUGAAAGACUGGACUCCUUCUUCUCUUAUUGUCUUACAUUUGCUACUUUUAUGAAAACCUUUUUCUUAACGCUUAAACAUUGUUUUAAAUUUAAGGUUUCAUAUAAAGAGUCUGUGACACAUAUUAUAUAUAUAUAUAUAUAUAUAUAUAUAUAUAUAUAUAUAUAUAUAUAUACUAUGUUUUAAAGAUCCAAGAUAUCCACAAAUAUAUAAUAGAAUUAUAUGCAUACUACAAAGACACCAGAAAGAAAGAGCCAGCAUAAAUUAAAAAAAAACCCAUGUUUAAUUAAAUAAACUAUUAUGUGUACUUGAAAUAUUCUUUCAUGAAUAUUAUAGCAAGAAAGGUAGAAAAAAAUUAUAACUAACAUUCAGUAAGAGAAUAUUAACUUUAUCGUACAUAUUUAUGUGUAAAUCAAAUUACUCUUUAAUAUAAAAAAUAUAGUUUAAUUAGUCAAACUUCUCAAUUAUUGUACUGUAAAACUUUCAAUGGUUGAUUAGAAAGAGUAAUUUAACUAUAACUAACAAAUCCCUAUAAGGAAAGUUAUAUAUAUAGUUAGAUAUAUGCAAUGAGCAUAAAAAUUUUAAGUCCCCUAAUGAAAUAUAAAACAAAAAGUAGAAAAAUAUAGAAAAAUAAUUAGUAGACCAAUUAAGAUAAUAGUAAUAAAAAACUUUAAAAGUAAAUUAUUAAACCAUAAUAUUAUUAAAUAAGUAAAUAUUAAAUCAGAUGUUUGUCGACGGAAAUGUCAAAGUAUGUUUUGUUUAUUUUCCUAAAAUUGGACUGUAGGCAAAAAAAAAACAAAUAUCAAUAAAAUUGUAUUAUGUAUAUUAUUAAACCCCUUAAACAUACUACUAUAUUAUAUAAUAAAAGCAGCAUCUUUGGUUCGCUUGGUUUGUUCAGUUAAUAAACCAUACUAUAUCCAUAAACCGUGAUUUUUUAAAUAUAAUAUCAAUUCACUAUAAUCAUUAUUACCAAAUCUAAACCAUGUUUACUGGAUCCGCAUGAACACAAAAUGCUCUACAUUUUGAGACGCAAUAUUUUAGUCAAAAUGAUUCUCAUUUUUGCGUACUGUGCUUAGAUUGUCCAAAAUAAUACAUUUGUUGCGUUUUUUUCGUUUCUCUUUAUUUAUUAUUAAACUUAUAACCACGAUCAAUUGCAUUAUAUAUAAGUAAAUAUAACUAAAAAUAGCACAAAAAGCCAAACAAGUAACAAAAAUUGAUAAUAAUAUCAGUUACUAACAUUCACCAAAACAUUUAUACUAACUUACCACACUAUAAAUUCUUUCAAUUCAAAAUUAAAAAUCCAACAAUACUAAGUACUCGGUCAUCAUUAGUUAGUUAUAUAAUUCAAAUUUGGUGUUCACAAUAAUCAUACUCACACCAAAUUUAACAUAAAAAGAAAUUUACACAAAGUAACAUUUUUUAUAAAAAUCAACCCAUCAAAUCCCGCCUGUAAGGCGGGUCUACCCUAGUAUUUGAUAUAGGAUUCGAUUGGUAAUGGCUGUAGAUUUAAAAAAUUUGCUGUAGAAAUAAAUCUGUAAAUUUUUUGAUGUGGCUUUAGAUUUUGUUGUUUUAGAAUUUUAAAGAAAGCUCCAAAAAAUUACGCUGGAUUUUUGGCUAUGUAGACAGCUGUAUGUUAUGUAAAGAGCUGUGAUUUUGAAAUUUUUAUUAAAGUUUGAUUGCUGUGAAUUUAGUGCUGUAUAAAUAAAUGGGGUUGUGAAUAGAACGAAAAGCCUAUAGGCCUAUCAAAGAAUAAAUGAUUAAAUAAAAUCUUAUUUUUUUCUAAAAUUAAAUGGAUUCAAUUGUUUUUGUGCGAAAAAUCUUACUAUAUGAAAAAUAUGUUAGACUUCAAAAUAUAUAUAAAUCUUCAUAGAAUGAAGACAUAAUUUUCUUUAUCUAAUUGAACUUUUAUAUAACAUACCACCAACAGACAGUUAAUUAUUAAUUAAUUAGGAAAGACAUAGCCAACAUGCAGUAAAUUAUAAAAAAAAAAAACUAUGGUGAGUGAUGGGAGGAAUAGUCCAUGUAUAAAUUCUUAAAUGGUUUCUAUUAUGAAGUGGUUAAAUGGUCAAGCUAUUGAAAAUAUAUAACUUUUUAUUAUGAAAAGUUUCAAUAGUUAAGUUUAUGAAACAACACAACUUUUUAAGCAUAGAACAUGUCUUUUGUUUAAGUGAAUUUAUGAUUUUGGACUCAUGAUAUUAAAUGAAACAAUAUCCGUUAGACUAAUGAUUAGAUAUAAACUUCAUCGUUAUCUAUACUAUACUAAAAGCAAUAUAUCCUCAAAGGAGAGGGAUGCCACCUCAGAUUAAAAAAUUAGCCAAUAAAAAUAAAUUAUAGUGCCACAUCAUCAUUAUAUUCUCUGUCUCGCGAAUAUCAUCUACGUUUCCUCUUCCUUUUUUUUCCCAAUAAAGAUGGUCUUCCUGUUCAUCUUCCUUUCUCUCAGCGUACAAUUUUUUACUCCCACAAACUCUUUGUCUGCCUUUCUUUACAAUCCAAGCUUUAUUCGAUUUGAAACCAAAAGGAUAACUCAAACCCUAUAAAUAAGAGAAGUUUGCGAUUCCAAUCCCCCUACACCGACACCUUCUAAUCUUUCAUCUACUUGCCAAAAGCCAGACGCCUCCUUCAAGAAUGUAUUCCUCUGACGUUGUUGUUGCCCAAUCAGAUAUCACUCAACCUUUGAUGCUCUCCGAUUUGGUAGGACUUCCCAAUACAUUGUUGGUCGUCUCCUCCUUUUCUGUGGUUCGCUGGGAUUCGCGCAACAUAAAAAAAAAGGGGUUACGGGAAUCAUCCUCUUUUUCCUUGAUGAAAAGAAUUAGGUGAUUCAAAGAUUCAUCCCAUCUGCUCGCGCCGAUCACUACCGUCCAUCUUUAGUGGACGGUUCCAUUAUAAAACUUGAUAGGAAUUUAUGCUUCAGAAAUUCCUGCCAUGAGAGAGUUCACAGCCAGCUUGGGAGGUGCAGCAGGAGAGAUCGGAACACUUUCAUCUCCAACUCUAAUCAGCAGACGCGAGAAGCUGAUUUCAUUUGCAAAGCGCCGAUUGUUGAGGUCCUCCACCAGAAUGGCAGGCCGUUCGUUGCUUGCAUCGGGUGCAACAGAAGUUGGACAAAUGUGGCACUUCUCUUCGUUGCAACAAAUGCGUUUCUCCCAACGUUACCGGUGUUAC
Molecule: long non-coding RNA, 5316 nt
Organism: Brassica napus (rape)
Lineage: Eukaryota; Viridiplantae; Streptophyta; Magnoliopsida; Brassicales; Brassicaceae
Exons: 10
Source: RefSeq, a predicted model, not a curated record